This 492-nucleotide ribosomal RNA is filed under the name uncultured bacterium. RNAcentral describes it as "partial 16S ribosomal RNA". It matches the Rfam family "Bacterial small subunit ribosomal RNA", at positions 29 to 507 of the family's 1533-position model. The record is from RNAcentral.
AGUGAACGCUGGCGAUAGGCCUAACACAUGCAAGUCGAACGGCAGCACAGUAAGAGCUUGCUCUUACGGGUGGCGAGUGGCGGACGGGUGAGGAAUACAUCGGAAUCUACUUUUUCGUGGGGGAUAACGUAGGGAAACUUACGCUAAUACCGCAUACGACCUACGGGUGAAAGCAGGGGAUCUUCGGACCUUGCGCGAUUGAAUGAGCCGAUGUCGGAUUAGCUAGUUGGCGGGGUAAAGGCCCACCAAGGCGACGAUCCGUAGCUGGUCUGAGAGGAUGAUCAGCCACACUGGAACUGAGACACGGUCCAGACUCCUACGGGAGGCAGCAGUGGGGAAUAUUGGACAAUGGGCGCAAGCCUGAUCCAGCCAUACCGCGUGGGUGAAGAAGGCCUUCGGGUUGUAAAGCCCUUUUGUUGGGAAGGAAAAGCAGCAGGUUAAUACCCCGCUGUUCUGACGGUACCCAAAGAAUAAGCACCGGCUAACUUCGUG